Molecule: ribosomal RNA, 253 nt
Filed under: uncultured bacterium
Lineage: Bacteria
Description: partial 16S ribosomal RNA
Rfam family: Bacterial small subunit ribosomal RNA
Source: RNAcentral
GACGAACCGUGCGAACGUUGUUCGGAGUCACUGGGCUUAAAGGGCGCGUAGGCGGGCUGCCAAGUCAGGGGCGAAAGCCCACGGCUCAACCGUGGAAGUGCCUUUGAUACUGGCGGCCUUGAGGGAGGUAGGGGCGUGCGGAACUUCCGGUGGAGCGGUGAAAUGCGUAGAUAUCGGAAGGAACACCGGUGGCGAAAGCGGCGCGCUGGACCUCUUCUGACGCUGAGGCGCGAAAGCUAGGGGAGCAAACGGG